ACAAUGUCCUCAGCUCUCCAUCAAGACCUCCUUUAGAUCCACAACAAUUUGCAAUGUGGCAUUUCCUCCUAAGCAUGUUGUAAGGAAAAGAGGUCACAAUUUGUGGCAUUUCCUCCUGAGCAUGUUGUAAGGAAAAGAGGUCACAAUUUGUGGCAUUUCCUCGAGCAUGUUGUAAGGAAAAAGAGGCCAUGUGUAGUACUCAUCAGAAAUAACAGAAGCUAAAAUUUCCACACACGAUCGCUUUCGCAGUCCCUGAAGUGCUAGUAUUGCAGUUCAGUAAUUCACCAUCAACAUCGACGCAGAAAGUCACCAUCAACAUGACUGCAAACUCAGUAAAUUCAGCAUCACCCAAAAGCCCAAAGUUACAGUUUCUGCUUCCCUGCAGAACAUGCUACCUUAUUACCUAGUCCGCAAAGACCUUGUCCUCGAGCUGGAACGCCUUGGUGAAGAAUGCCGGCCAGCAGAG
Molecule: long non-coding RNA, 466 nt
Filed under: Sorghum bicolor (sorghum)
Lineage: Eukaryota; Viridiplantae; Streptophyta; Magnoliopsida; Poales; Poaceae
Description: long non-coding RNA (SBIC_LNC015310)
Source: RNAcentral